Molecule: ribosomal RNA, 765 nt
Filed under: uncultured Streptococcus sp.
Lineage: Bacteria; Bacillati; Bacillota; Bacilli; Lactobacillales; Streptococcaceae
Description: bacterial SSU rRNA
Rfam family: Bacterial small subunit ribosomal RNA
Source: RNAcentral
GAUGAACGCUGGCGGCGUGCCUAAUACAUGCAAGUAGAACGCUGAAGCUUGGUGCUUGCACCAAGCGGAUGAGUUGCGAACGGGUGAGUAACGCGUAGGUAACCUGCCUCUUAGCGGGGGAUAACUAUUGGAAACGAUAGCUAAUACCGCAUAAAAGUCGAUAUCGCAUGAUAUUGAUUUGAAAGGUGCAAAUGCAUCACUAAGAGAUGGACCUGCGUUGUAUUGGCUAGUUGGUGAGGUAACGGCUCACCAAGGCGACGAUACAUAGCCGACCUGAGAGGGUGAUCGGCCACACUGGGACUGAGGCACGGCCCAGACUCCUACGGGAGGCAGCAGUAGGGAAUCUUCGGCAAUGGGGGCAACCCUGACCGAGCAACGCCGCGUGAGUGAAGAAGGUUUUCGGAUCGUAAAGCUCUGUUGUAAGAGAAGAACGAGUGUGAGAGUGGAAAGUUCACACUGUGACGGUAACUUACCAGAAAGGGACGGCUAACUACGUGCCAGCAGCCGCGGUAAUACGUAGGUCCCGAGCGUUAUCCGGAUUUAUUGGGCGUAAAGCGAGCGCAGGCGGUUAGAUAAGUCUGAAGUUAAAGGCUGUGGCUUAACCAUAGUACGCUUUGGAAACUGUUUAACUUGAGUGCAGAAGGGGAGAGUGGAAUUCCAUGUGUAGCGGUGAAAUGCGUAGAUAUAUGGAGGAACACCGGUGGCGAAAGCGGCUCUCUGGUCUGUAACUGACGCUGAGGCUCGAAAGCGUGGGGAGCAAACAGG